GGCAACCCUGAGGUGAGCAUCUGCCCUCCACCCAGGCCCCUCUGCCAGGCUCUUCCUGCCUUGAAGUUGGCAACAAUGCAGGAACUGAAACUUCCGAAACGGGAGCCAAAAUGAAUCUCUCUCCUUUACGUUCCAGGGGUCCGAGUAUUGUGUCUCAGAGACUAGAAAGUGGCUAGGACACCUCCUUUUCAGCAGGACUCAAAUAAAUUAAGGAAUCAGUUUAAUUGGGCGAUAUAAAAGUGUAUCUAAGGCAGUGCUGCAGUAUAUACUGAGCUGGAGAACACCCUGCUAUGUACUCAGCGGCACCUUGCUCUUCUCUUAUGACAGUAUACAAUUUGCUGACAUUUCCUAUUGAUUGUCAUCUGUGGCUAUCACGUCCAGCUGUGGCCACAACUGAUUUCAAUGCCUGCCACAUGCUGGGUACUCAACAAUGCCACUUACUUGGGCAACAACUGAAUACUAUUUCACUGCAAAUAUUUCCUCCACUGUGCUCACGUGGCUGAAAUUCGUGUAUCCUGGUAAUAAUAAACUCAGCUGAUUAACAUUCAGAAAGGUUCAUCGGUGAAGUAGCGACAUAGCCCUACUCAUCGAAGCCUGUUCAUAUAACCUGGAUUAAAUCAAAACAGUUCCAUUCUGAGCCAGGGCGUGGCUCAGGGCAGUGUGCUUAGCAUGCACGAGGUGCUGGCUCCAUCCCUACUGGAUGAUGACAACGAUGAUGGAUGAUGUUACCCUGCUGGGUCACAGAAAAGUUCAAACUCAGGACCUUGCACUUGGCAGCAUCACUGAGCUAAAUGCCCAGCCCCUAGCAGGACUGUAAAUGCAGGCAUUCACAUCAGGAGCCAUUUGGAAAGACUGGUGUCAGCAUAAGGAGAAGCACAGAUGAUUCGGGCAAAUUGCUGGAAAAUUUCCUAAUGUAUAAUAGGAAGUCUAACUGGAAGCAGGGGCCCCUGGGUGCAGCCCCCACCAACAAGAGGCACCCAGGCUCAGGUCCCCAGUUUGGGUACUGAAGGUCAAUGUGUGCCUGACUCUCUGCCUGCUCUAAGAAGAGAAACUCGACUCAGUAGUGGACAAACCUGUCACCCAUGGAGUAACAGUGUAAGAGAGGUGCUAAAGAUUAAAAUAAAACCUAGACUACGACAAUUAAGAAAGAACUUUUAGCAUAAGUGUCUUAGUCAGUUUCCUAUUGCUGGGACAAAACACCUGACAGCCACAGCUUAAAGGAGGAGAGGCUUAUUUGGGCACAGCAUCACCACAGUACCACAGCCAUUUCCAGCUGGGACAUCACUCAGGCUGGGAAAAAAACAUUACAGCCCAUCUAAAAAACAAAAAAUGAAACUAAGCAAAACAAAGAACAGCUUAAAGAUGUACGUCAAGGCUCAGAAGUAGAGAUGGCAGGGAUGUUGAGUUAUCAAAACUCUAAAACUAC
Molecule: long non-coding RNA, 1426 nt
Filed under: Heterocephalus glaber (naked mole-rat)
Lineage: Eukaryota; Metazoa; Chordata; Mammalia; Rodentia; Bathyergidae
Description: lncRNA (ENSHGLG00000049722.1)
Source: RNAcentral